CAGACGUCCUCAGUUCCACCAGGAAGAAGGAGAUGACAUUGGUGGGUCUCUCAGGCUGCUUUCAGGGGUCAAAAUGAGAUCCUUGCGAUGUCCAGGAACGAUGUCCAGGAACGGUGCAGGGCUCCUGGCAGGGAAGCGCCCGGAUGCCUGCUCUUCCCUCCCUGUACCACGUGGCACCCAGAAGUGGGAAUACUGUUUUGCCUGUUCCUCUGCUGAACUGCGGGCUCAUUCAGAGGAGCUGCUCCCGCAUCCCCGCGCCCCCACCCAGCCAAGAUGAACCCGUUCCUCCAAACUCCUCUAUUCAGAUGCACUUUACAGAAGAGAAGAAAAAAGAAAGCCUUUUGAGAGGCAAGUUGAGAAGUCGCCAGGGGAGUUCACAGAGGAUUUCCUUGUAGUUUGCGUUUUCUUUUGUGCCCUGGUGAGCAGCUUGGAGAAGGAGCUGGGGCUUCCUGGAAGAAGCAGGGGCUGGGGAGGGGGGCAGGAGACCCUGUUCCCUCUCCGUGCUAGGCUUCUGGUGGAAAGGAGGAAGGCCGUGCAGUGAGGGGCAGCUCAAGGCUUCCCUGGCCCAGAGGCCGAGGCUGCCGCCAGCAGAAGGCAGGUGUCUGCAGGUGUGCAAGUGCACGUGCCCCUUCCGGUCAGCCGUGUGCCUGGGGCCCGCCAGCUGGCCCUGAAGCCCCCCGCUGCCAAGAGACCACGGAGCUGCUUCUCCAAGCAGAGCAAAGGAAAAAAACUGGAUCCGUUAAACUGUGUUUGUUGAAUCUUAUCGAUUAGGAGGAAAGCACUAACUUUGUACUUUGGAUUUUGAAGUUUCAAAUUAAGGGUUAAUUUGCAUUUGCUGUUUAUGAGUGAGAAUGAGGAAACUUGUACUGGUUUUUUACUAUUCUAAUAAAGCGAAAUUUUAAUGAAAAAAGUAAU
RNAcentral lists this long non-coding RNA (915 nucleotides) under Canis lupus dingo (dingo). Its description in RNAcentral is "lncRNA (ENSCAFG00020026377.1)". The record is from RNAcentral. Lineage: Eukaryota; Metazoa; Chordata; Mammalia; Carnivora; Canidae.